GAUGAACGCUGGCGGCGUGCCUAAUACAUGCAAGUCGAGCGAACAGACGAGGAGCUUGCCCCUCUGACGUUAGCGGCGGACGGGUGAGUAACACGUAGAUAACCUACCUAUAAGACUGGGAUAACUUCGGGAAACCGGAGCUAAUACCGGAUAAUAUAUUGAACCGCAUGGUUCAAUAGUGAAAGACGGUUUUGCUGUCACUUAUAGAUGGAUCCGCGCCGCAUUAGCUAGUUGGUAAGGUAACGGCUUACCAAGGCGACGCUGCGUAGCCGACCUGAGAGGGUGAUCGGCCACACUGGAACUGAGACACGGUCCAGACUCCUACGGGAGGCAGCAGUAGGGAAUCUUCCGCAAUGGGCGAAAGCCUGACGGAGCAACGCCGCGUGAGUGAUGAAGGUCUUCGGAUCGUAAAACUCUGUUAUUAGGGAAGAACAAAUGUGUAAGUAACUAUGCACGUCUUGACGGUACCUAAUCAGAAAGCCACGGCUAACUACGUG
RNAcentral lists this ribosomal RNA (497 nucleotides) under uncultured bacterium. RNAcentral describes it as "partial 16S ribosomal RNA". It matches the Rfam family "Bacterial small subunit ribosomal RNA", at positions 28 to 507 of the family's 1533-position model. The record is from RNAcentral.